Molecule: transfer RNA, 71 nt
Filed under: Desmophyllum pertusum
Lineage: Eukaryota; Metazoa; Cnidaria; Anthozoa; Scleractinia; Caryophylliidae
Description: Lophelia pertusa tRNA
Rfam family: tRNA
About the family: Transfer RNA (tRNA) molecules are approximately 80 nucleotides in length. Their secondary structure includes four short double-helical elements and three loops (D, anti-codon, and T loops).
Source: Rfam by way of RNAcentral
GCUUUAAUGGUCCAGUGGUUAAGACGCUGAGUUGUGGCCUCAGAGACCAGGUUCGAAUCCUGGUCAUGGCA